GACGAACGCUGGCGGCGUGCUUAACACAUGCAAGUCGAACGGAAAGGCCCUGCUUUUGUGGGGUGCUCGAGUGGCGAACGGGUGAGUAACACGUGAGUAACCUGCCCUUGACUUUGGGAUAACUUCAGGAAACUGGGGCUAAUACCGGAUAGGAGCUCCUGCUGCAUGGUGGGGGUUGGAAAGUUUCGGCGGUUGGGGAUGGACUCGCGGCUUAUCAGCUUGUUGGUGGGGUAGUGGCUUACCAAGGCUUUGACGGGUAGCCGGCCUGAGAGGGUGACCGGCAACAUUGGGACUGAGAUACGGCCCGGACUCCUACGGGAGGCAGCAGGGGGGAAGAUUGCACAAUGGGCGGAAGCCGGAUGCAGCAACGCCGCGUGCGGGAUGACGGCCUUCGGUUUGUAAACCGCUUUCGCCUGUGACGAAGCGUGAGUGACGGUAAUGGGUAAAGAAGCACCGGCUAACUACGUG
Molecule: ribosomal RNA, 468 nt
Filed under: uncultured bacterium
Lineage: Bacteria
Description: partial 16S ribosomal RNA
Rfam family: Bacterial small subunit ribosomal RNA
Source: RNAcentral